CCAACAAGUGUACAACAAUGGACGAAGUGUAUCGGUGCUGCAGCACAAGACCUGUCAAGCUGUAGAGUAUGUGGAGCUAUAGGUGGGCUGAAACAAGGAACGAACUAGCACCACAUUAGUUAUAAAAGCGAGCUGAAUAAGCGUUCGACGAUGGUACUGUGCUGGUCCUAGGCUAGACCGUGCUAGAGACGCGAGCCUGGACACAAAGGAAAACCACAACACACCCCCGAAAACAAGGUGGAACAAACCUAAAAUCAAUAUGAAAAACAGCCCCUUUUUUUCUUUUGAAUCUUUUCUCUUUUCUUUUUUUUUCUUUUUUUGGGCAACCUCAAAAACUAAUUAUAUGAACAAAAGAAUACAAAAGAGCAAUUCGCUACACACACUUUUUUUCCGAAAGUACAGGGGUAUUCUGGUAAAAAGAAGAUACUCCCUCUCUAGAGUAAGGUCGAACAAGUAUGGAGUUAUCCUUCUUUUUUUAUCACGUUGGUGGAACUCAGAUUGGAACUCUACUCGAUCCGGACCAAGACCAUAGUUCAAUUCGGACAUCGCAACAGAUUCGACAGAGAGAAGAUAUGGUAAUACUUGGAUGGUGACAAGAACUCGAAACUCUAAAGGACUAGACACUAAGACCAGCAACUCGACACAAACCGAAGCAACG
This 658-nucleotide long non-coding RNA is filed under the name Sorghum bicolor (sorghum). Its description in RNAcentral is "long non-coding RNA (SBIC_LNC010470)". Lineage: Eukaryota; Viridiplantae; Streptophyta; Magnoliopsida; Poales; Poaceae. The record is from RNAcentral.